CCUACGGGAGGCAGCAGUGAGGAAUAUUGGUCACUGGACGAGAGUCUGAACCAGCCAAGUAGCGUGAAGGAUGACUGCCCUAUGGGUUGUAAACUUCUUUUAUAUGGGAAUAAAAUGUUCCACGUGUGGGAUUUUGUAUGUACCAUAUGAAUACGGAUCGGCUAACUCCGUGCCAGCAGCCGCGGUAAUACGGAGGAUCCGAGCGUUAUCCGGAUUUAUUGGGUUUAACGGGAGCGUAGGUGGAUUGUUAAGUCAGUUGUGAAAGUUUGCGGCUCAACCGUAAAAUUGCAGUUGAAACUGGCAGUCUUGAGUACAGUAGAGGUGGGCGGAAUUCGUGGUGUAGCGGUGAAAUGCUUAGAUAUCACGAAGAACUCCGAUUGCGAAGGCAGUUCACUGGACUGCAACUGACACUGAGGCUCGAAAGUGUGGGUAUCAAACAGGAUUAGAUACCCCAGUAGUC
This 460-nucleotide ribosomal RNA is filed under the name uncultured bacterium. RNAcentral's name for it is "partial 16S ribosomal RNA". It matches the Rfam family "Bacterial small subunit ribosomal RNA", at positions 338 to 795 of the family's 1533-position model. The record is from RNAcentral.